AUUGAACGCUGGCGGCAGGCCUAACACAUGCAAGUCGAGCGGAUGAAGGGAGCUUGCUCCUGGAUUCAGCGGCGGACGGGUGAGUAAUGCCUAGGAAUCUGCCUGGUAGUGGGGGAUAACGUCCGGAAACGGGCGCUAAUACCGCAUACGUCCUGAGGGAGAAAGUGGGGGAUCUUCGGACCUCACGCUAUCAGAUGAGCCUAGGUCGGAUUAGCUAGUUGGUGGGGUAAAGGCCUACCAAGGCGACGAUCCGUAACUGGUCUGAUAGGAUGAUCAGUCACACUGGCACUGAGACACGGUCCAGACUCCUACGGGAGGCAGCAGUGGGGAAUAUUGGACAAUGGGCGAAAGCCUGAUACAGCAAUGCCGCGUGUGUGAAGAAGGUCUUAGGAUUGUAAAGCAAUUUAAGUUGGGAGGAAGGGCAGUAAGUUAAUACCUUGCUGUUUUGACGUUACCAACAGAAUAAGCACCGGCUAACUUCGUG
Molecule: ribosomal RNA, 484 nt
Filed under: uncultured bacterium
Lineage: Bacteria
Description: partial 16S ribosomal RNA
Rfam family: Bacterial small subunit ribosomal RNA
Source: RNAcentral